Molecule: ribosomal RNA, 420 nt
Filed under: Fusobacteriota bacterium
Lineage: Bacteria; Fusobacteriati; Fusobacteriota
Description: Fusobacteria bacterium partial 16S ribosomal RNA
Rfam family: Bacterial small subunit ribosomal RNA
Source: RNAcentral
UGGGGGAUAUUGCACAAUGGGCGAAAGCCUGAUGCAGCGACGCCGCGUGGGGGAUGAAGGCCUUCGGGUUGUAAACUUCUUUUGCUCUGAACAAGGCAUGCCUUUGGGGUGUGUUGAGUGUAGGGGUUGAUUAGCGCCGGCUAACUACGUGCCAGCAGCCGCGGUAAUACGUAGGGCGCGAGCGUUGUCCGGAAUUAUUGGGCGUAAAGGGCUUGUAGGUGGCUGGUUGCGUCUGUCGUGAAAGCUCAUGGCUUAACUGUGGGUUUGCGGUGGGUACGAGCUGGCUUGAGUGCAGUAGGGGAGGCUGGAAUUCCUGGUGUAGCGGUGGAAUGCGCAGAUAUCAGGAGGAAUACCGGUGGCGAAGGCGGGUCUCUGGGCUGUUACUGACGCUGAGGAGCGAAAGCGUGGGGAGCGAACAGG